CAUAAAGUCAUACAGAUAAUAUGUAUUUUUUUUUUGACCUAAUUUGCCUACUUAAGGGCUGCCCAAGCAAAAUAUUUACUCCUAUUUUCAUCUGCCAUGGCCGAUUCCUCUGCACCCGACUCUUCUCCACCCAACUCUUCUCUACCCGAUUCCUCUACGCCCGACUCUUUUCCACCCAACUCUUCUCUAUCCGAUUUCUCUAUGGACGACAUCAUCAUAUUGAAGCUUGCAGAGGAUCAUGCGGCGAGUUUACCUGCGGAUAGGUGGCUAUCGGAACCAAAACCACCCUCGAUUUGGAACCUAUGUAAAAAAUCGAUUGAACACAUCAGAACGAACGAACCUGAGGAGUACAAACUUAUUGUUGAUAUAUGUAAAUUGGCUCUUAAUCAUUAUCAGGAAAGUCAUGUAUGUCUAUAUAAUUUUUUAUUUUUUAUUUUCAAAUUCUUAUAUUUUUGUUUCCUCUCCUGACGUCAAUUUCAUAUUUAGUAUUACUAAUUAUCCUUUUAGCCAGACAAAUCGUAUGAGUUUGACAGCGUGCCUGAGGGUGAGGAGGUGCUUGUUUGAAUGAUUGGAUUCAUGAAGUAUACCUUUAAGUUUCGAGCUACAAAUAUGAAGGUGACGGGUAAUCCUCUCCAAGUGUUUCAAGUUACUGCUGAUCAGCUCAGAGGAGGAGCUCUUAUUAUACAUGAAUGUACCCUGCUGGAAUAGGUUUGAAUGAUGUAGUUUGGACCUCCUAUCUGAUUCAGAAGAUUCAGAAUCUGCAAAGAGAUGCCUCAUGGACCAGUUUUCUUCAUCAAGCAAACUGAAAAAGUCCAAGUUCUAAGUUGGCUAUUAUAAACAGGAAAAAAUGUAAUUGGGUUUUAUGGUUUGGGGUGGUUUGUUUGGUUUGGUUCGGUUCUGACAAUGCUACUUAAACAUGUUCUGUAUCAGAUUUCUUGACUAUUAUCUCCUUUGAACUUAUGCUAUUGAUUUGACUAAAAUUAUGUAUAUUUCUACUUUGUGUUCUCCAACUGUUUGCAGGAUGAGGUGUAACACUACACUUAACUAUAUGGAGGGCAAGCUAUGGACCUAAUAUGUGAAGCUAAACAUUCCUGAAGAAGUAGGCUAUCUUAGUUAUUUUAUUUUGAAAACUUAUGUACCAAGCUACCUUAGUUUUUUUUUAAAAAACUUAUGUAAUUUUCUAUACUAUACAACAUCAUGUAUCCAAAUACAAAUUGUUAAU
Long non-coding RNA from Ipomoea triloba (trilobed morning glory), 1222 nucleotides. RefSeq lists it as uncharacterized. NCBI's taxonomy places the organism in Eukaryota, Viridiplantae, Streptophyta, Magnoliopsida, Solanales, Convolvulaceae. The record is from RefSeq and is a predicted model, not a curated record. The transcript has 3 exons.